This 1233-nucleotide long non-coding RNA is filed under the name Mytilus galloprovincialis (Mediterranean mussel). Lineage: Eukaryota; Metazoa; Mollusca; Bivalvia; Mytilida; Mytilidae. The record is from RNAcentral.
UAUUACUUUUGAACCUCAAUUUGUUGAAUGCCACUGAUCAUGGUUAAGAAAAUCAACAACUAAUCAACCCAACAGUCAUUGGUUCAGACUACACUGAACACAUAAUUUAAAAAUAUGGUAAAUCACUUAAGAAAAUAUUUUGUCACGACAUAACUGCCUCUUUGACUUGUACCUCACAAUCAUUUUUGAUUCAUACCUUAAAAUGUAUAGAAAAGUAAUAGAAAUGUUUUGAUUUUUGUUAGUUAAAAGUCUGUCCUAAGAAUGUAUGUAUAUCAACAGUAUCCACUAGAACAGAUUUAUUUGCCAGGGACCCAAAUAAAGUCUUACUAACAGAUUUCUUUGUUAGCGUAAGGAACGUUGAACCUUUAGCCAAGACCAUCAAACUUCUUAACAAAACCAACCAAUGCACGUAAAUUACUGUUAGUGAAGAUUUUAUUGAAGAUCUUUUGGGUUGAAAUAUUCAAAAAAGGUAAUUGAAUAUUGAAAAAUUUCAAACUUCCGAUGUAUUAAAAAACAGGACUUGCUUAUUAAACACAACAGAAAAAAAGCAUUUGAAAAGAAGUUUAUUCAGUGCGAUUGAAAUUAAAUUUGUCAUUGACAUUUUUUUUAUGGAAGUUGCAAUAAUGUAUUAAAAAACAGGACUUGCUUAUUAAACACAACAGAAAGAAAAGCAUUUGAAAAGAAGUUUAUUCAGUGCGAUUGAAAUUAAAUUUGUCAUUGACAUUUUUUUUAUGGAAGUUGCAAUAAUGUAUUAAAAACAGGACUUGCUUAUUAAACACAACAAAAAAAAAGCAUUUGAAAAGAAGUGUCAUUGACAUUUUUUUUUAUGGAAGUUGCAAUAUUUAAAUUAUUUUUUUGAAUUACUGGAAAUAAGUUUCUUAUAAAAUGCUUUUUUUUCUAUAACUGACCAUUUGAUUGUGAAUUUUUUUUAGAUAAACAUCUAUGUCAACAUACUAUACCUUGUGAUGUAAUUUCAUAUUCAUUGCUCUUGAACUUCUUGUUUACCUAUUCUCAUAUUUGGGUGAUAACUUGAUUUCUAUGUAUUUGCAGUAAAGAUAGCUGUCAAGAUAAAAUAGAGCCGGAAGAUCAAGAUCUAGAGCCUUUAUCAUAUGCAGAACAAUUCCCAGUGCCUAAAUGAUUUAUAUGGAUGUAAGGAACUUAAAACUUCUGUGAUAAAAUUUAUGACAGCAGGCCAAGUAAUUAAUGACUAAAUUGGUGAGAAUGACUUUGAAU